This 342-nucleotide long non-coding RNA is filed under the name Lathyrus oleraceus (garden pea). RNAcentral describes it as "Pisum sativum (pea) long non-coding RNA (PSAT_LNC001892)". The record is from RNAcentral. Lineage: Eukaryota; Viridiplantae; Streptophyta; Magnoliopsida; Fabales; Fabaceae.
UUGAAUUGGAACUGAUUGAUUGUUGGAAUUGUUGGAAAAAAAUGGAAUUACUGUGGAAACUUGAUGUUGAUGUUGAUGGGUUUAGAACUCUUUCUGACAUGAGGCCUCCUCUGCCUCCCCACUGACACUGAAUUAGUUUCUCCUUCUUUCCUCUUGGAGAGACUCCCACCAUAUUUCAUGAUGGAUGAUGCUUCUUCUUUAGACACACAUCCUUCACAGACUCCUUCUUCUAGCCUCAUCCCCGUGUUUACCAUUUCGGUAAAGUCAUUGGGAGCACUCGCAGUCAUACGUUCGUAAUAAAAUGAACUCAGCGUCUUCAAGAGGUGGAAUUUUAGGCAGCCA